CAGCCGCCGCGGGAAUACGUAGGUGGCAAGCGUUGUCCGGAAUUAUUGGGCGUAAAGGGCUCGCAGGCGGUUUCUUAAGUCUGAUGUGAAAGCCCCCGGCUCAACCGGGGAGGGUCAUUGGAAACUGGGAAACUUGAGUGCAGAAGAGGAGAGUGGAAUUCCACGUGUAGCGGUGAAAUGCGUAGAGAUGUGGAGGAACACCAGUGGCGAAGGCGACUCUCUGGUCUGUAACUGACGCUGAGGAGCGAAAGCGUGGGGAGCGAACAGGAUUAGAUACCCGCGUAGUCCCUGUCUCCUUAUU
RNAcentral lists this ribosomal RNA (301 nucleotides) under uncultured bacterium. RNAcentral describes it as "partial 16S ribosomal RNA". It matches the Rfam family "Bacterial small subunit ribosomal RNA", at positions 509 to 809 of the family's 1533-position model. The record is from RNAcentral.